Molecule: ribosomal RNA, 468 nt
Filed under: uncultured bacterium
Lineage: Bacteria
Description: partial 16S ribosomal RNA
Rfam family: Bacterial small subunit ribosomal RNA
Source: RNAcentral
GACGAACGCUGGCGGCGUGCUUAAUACAUGCAAGUCGAACGGAAAGGCCCUGCUUUUGUGGGGUGCUCGAGUGGCGAACGGGUGGGUAACACGUGAGUAACCUGCCCUUGACUUUGGGAUAACUUCAGGAAACUGGGGCUAAUACCGGAUAGGAGCUCCUGCUGCAUGGUGGGGGUUGGAAAGUUUCGGCGGUUGGGGAUGGACUCGCGGCUUAUCAGCUUGUUGGUGGGGUAGUGGCUUACCAAGGCUUUGACGGGUAGCCGGCCUGAGAGGGUGACCGGCCACAUUGGGACUGAGAUACGGCCCAGACUCCUACGGGAGGCAGCAGUGGGGAAUAUUGCACAAUGGGCGGAAGCCUGAUGCAGCAACGCCGCGUGCGGGAUGACGGCCUUCGGGUUGUAAACCGCUUUCGCCUGUGACGAAGCGUGAGUGACGGUAAUGGGUAAAGAAGCACCGGCUAACUACGUG